CCUACGGGAGGCAGCAGUAGGGAAUAUUGCUCAAUGGGGGCAACCCUGAAGCAGCAACGCCGCGUGGAGGAUGAAGGUUUUAGGAUUGUAAACUCCUUUUGUGAGAGAAGAUAAUGAUGGUAUUUCACGAAUAAGCACCGGCUAACUCCGUGCCAGCAGCCGCGGUAAUACGGGGGGUGCAAGCGUUACUCGGAAUCACGGGGGGGAAAGAGUGCGCAGGCGGGAUUGUAAGUCAGAUGUGAAAUCCUGUAGCUUAACUACAGAACUGCAUUUGAAACUAUGAGUCUAGAGUGUGGGAGGGGUAGGUGGAAUUCUUGGUGUAGGGGUGAAAUGCGUAGAUAUCAGGAGGAAUACUCAUUGCGAAGGCGACCUACUGGAACAUUACUGACGCUCAGGCGCGAAAGCGUGGGGAGCAAACAGGAUUAGAUACCCCUGUAGUC
RNAcentral lists this ribosomal RNA (440 nucleotides) under uncultured bacterium. Its description in RNAcentral is "partial 16S ribosomal RNA". It matches the Rfam family "Bacterial small subunit ribosomal RNA", at positions 338 to 795 of the family's 1533-position model. The record is from RNAcentral.